GAUGAAGAACGUAGUGAAAUGCGAUACUUGGUGUGAAUUGCAGAAUCCCGUGAACCAUCGAGUCUUUGAACGCAAGUUGCGCCCGAAGCCAUUAGGCCGAGGGCACGCCUGCCUGGGCGUCACACGUCGUUGCCCCCCCAUCUACUCCUUCGGGAUUGCGGGGGGCGGAUGAUGGCCUCUCGUGCGCCUCGUCGCGCGGUUGGCCUAAAUGCCAAGUCCUCGGCGACGCACGCCACGACAAUCGGUGGUUGCGAAACCUCGGUUGCCCGUCGUGUGCGGUCGUCGCGCAUCGAGGGCUCGAAAAAAUUGCCGGGCUCCGGCUCGGCUUUCAACGCGACCCCAGGUCAGGCGGGGUUACCCGCUGAAUUUAAGCAUAUCAAUAAGCGGAGGA
This 391-nucleotide unclassified non-coding RNA is filed under the name soil metagenome. Its description in RNAcentral is "partial contains 5.8S ribosomal RNA, internal transcribed spacer 2, and large subunit ribosomal RNA". The stretch from base 1 to 122 matches the Rfam family "5.8S ribosomal RNA", at positions 35 to 154 of the family's 154-position model. The record is from RNAcentral.